This is a long non-coding RNA of Myotis brandtii (Brandt's bat), 3435 nucleotides long. RefSeq lists it as uncharacterized. NCBI's taxonomy places the organism in Eukaryota, Metazoa, Chordata, Mammalia, Chiroptera, Vespertilionidae. The transcript has 4 exons. The record is from RefSeq and is a predicted model, not a curated record.
CAGUCCGCAGGUCAGCACUCUAUCCACUGAGUCAAACUGGCUAGGGCUAAAUGCUUUUCUUAUGCCUUAAUUUUGUCCUCUUUCCCUGACAUUUCACUGUAUUAAUUUGCAGGAAUAAUAUUAUCAAUAUGGUAGUUGAUUUGCACUUUCUAUUAUAUUCUUAACUAUUAGCUGAGGCGAGAAAAAGAAAGCACAGAGACAGAAAGGAGUUUGCCUCAGGUGGCACAGCAAGUCCCUGAAAGGGCCAGGACCAGUCUUCCCAAUAAUGUGAUUUAACAGGUGGGCUGGCUUAGCUUUGCAUCGGGGAUUUCUUCUGUGGUUUUAUUACUCUUUAAAAAUAGAGAUUCUCCCAUAGCCCCGUGUGUCCCAUUUUUGCUUAUACCAGCUACUACUGGAAGCUUAGGUGUUGCUGGGUUUUUAAUUAUUUUGCUCCUGAAUUCAGAAACUUCCUAUCCCAAGGUCGAUCAGCCAGGUGCUCAGAUGAACGUUGCUACUUGUAAUUGCUCUCUUAGAGCCACAGACAGAUUCAAAUGAUGUAAAUUGCUCUAGAAGGUCUUGUUUCAUUUUUCAAAUGUGUCUGUGUCACUUUAGCAAGAGAGAAAGCAGCUCCCAGGAGGCACCUUAUACCUCAGUCACCGCUGAGCAAUGGAGGAGGCUCUCAAGGUACGGUGUGUGCUCACCAUCUCCAGCCACAGAAGAGCCAAGGAACAGUCUUGGCACGCAAUGGCUCACUGGUGGCACCAGUCCUCUAGAAUGCUAACUGCACUUGCAAGGAGAGCCACUUAGAAUCUGAGGCCUGGCCUGGCUGUGCUUCUACAUGGAGCGCCAGUGUUUGCUGCUCUCUGGGAGGAGGCUCUGGGGAACUCAGCUCUCCCAGCUUUGUGGCCAGUAUAGCUAGCCAGCCCCACCAACACCAAAGCAGCCCACCAACACCAGCUGCCCCGCUCACUGAGUUCUCAGGAGACUGUUAUUAGCACGUUCUCCAACCAUUGAAUAAGGCAUGAGCUUGAUUAACUUGGAUACAAAACAAAAACUGCUCAACUGAUCUUAAAGAAACAGUGCUACCCAGAGGGCCAUGUUCCUUGAGUCUGCUGCCCCUGGUAACCACCAAAAGCAGGCAGUACCUUGAGAUCCCAGGAGCUCCUACGCCAAGUAAUGGAGCUGCGACAGUGGUCUGGGUGGGACAGUCUUUAACUGGUUCAUUGCCCAACACAGUCCUCCUGUGCACUGAGAGCUGCCUGCUGAGAACAGUAUGUUCAAGAACCUGUCCUCCCAGAAGACUGCGGCACGUGCCUUUCUUGUGAGUCUUUAUUGCCAUCCCCACUGUUCACUGUAUUGGGAAUUGUCUGGGCUUCACCCUCUGGCAUCCCUAAUCCUGGAGCCUCAAGAAGAAAUCCUGCAUCUGCAGGACUCCCCAAGCAAAAAUCACGACAAUUGCAGCCUGUCGGAAAAUAAGGGUCCACUACAGAACUGAUCAGGGAAAGGUGGCCUGAAGGCUGACCCCAGGAAUUUACUGAUUAUACAGUUUGAAGAAGCUUAACUGCCUGUAGUUUAGUCCUCAGAAGGCAUUUGCAGAAGAUGCAGGAGCCAAGGAGGAAGGUUUAUUUCUUCCUUGAGUCUACCUAGCACACUCUUAAAUCUUUGCGGCCUUCAAAACGUGACAGACAUGAAAGAAAAGGUGGUUAGGGUCUUGGGCCCCAUCACUUCACGUGAAAAAGGUAAUGCCUUUCUUACCCUUCCCUACUCUGCUGAUCUUAAGAAAACAGGAGGCCAGAGAAGUAAACCACCAUUUCCCAGGGGACGCAUAAAUUCCCCUGGCUAAUUUCCAGUGUGCACAUGGAGAACCUCCUGCAAGGUUGAGGGGUGGUGCAUUAAGUAGGAGCCACGGCACCUUCACCACGGUAUGUCCCACCAAAGUGCAGUCUGUCACAGGGCUGGCAGCUCACAAAGCAGGGGUUGGCCUUGCCCUUGCCUCGGGCUUGGUGAUGUGCUAUUGAAACCCAUAAGCUGAGUCUGCACUGCCACUGGCUGGAGAGCUCCCCUUUCUGAGCAAGUGCAGGGCUGGAGCACCACAGCCUGGUGUGAGGCCAGCCAGCAACCCAGGGAGAUGCAGCCCAAGGACCACUUGGAACUCUGACAACUUUAGGGCUGCUCCUUAAAUGAUUGCUCCCAGCCAAAAAGCAUUGCUAGUACUUGGAAGAGGCCAAGACUGUCCUCCAACUGAGUCAGCUAGCACAGCAGAGAAAGCUCUCCUUUUUAAAGGGCUAGGGAGGGUUGGCUGUAGGUGGGUGUGGACUUGCAAACUCAUCUAAACCAACUACCUCAAAACAAACUCACAAUAUCAUUUCCCCUGCAGGAGCGGGGACUCUGGGAGACUGGCAUCUGCUGAUUUGGCUAAAUGGACUACACGCUUGGAAUCCAAAUGGGUCUACAAAUGUUCUCACUGAUUGUCUUUCUGGUCUCUCCAUAUUUUAGCUUUGAUCGUUGUGUAAGCCACAGCCUGUCUAGUGGAAUAAGUGAUAUGAGCAAAUUAAAAAGGCACAUUGUGCUCCAAGGGGACUCGUCGGGCAGUCGCUGUGAUGGUCCAGGGCCACUCAGCUCCAGCCUCAGAGUCACCUGCAACGAAAACCACUUCUUGCCAUCAGGGAUGGAUUCAGUGAUGUUGAUGGGACUGCUCACAAACCCCAACUGACAGAUAUUCUCUGGAGAGGGAAGAGGUCAUUCUUCACAGCAGAAGAGAAAGGAGGGGCAUGUCUCUAUAUCAAACUGUGGCCAUCAAAGUUUCUACUGACCUUUAGGCUGUGACGUCACCAGAAUCUCAGUUCUGGCGAGAGCACUGGUGUGGGAAGCAUCUCAUGAGACAUACCAGUUGGAGCAGAGUUCCCUAAGGCCAGGGUGGCCUCACAGUUGCCUCCUGCUGCCAAGCACUGAGCAGCCAAAGCCUGUAAGCAGGGUGGGGGAGGGAGCAUAAGCCAGCACCCUAGCGCUCUAGGCUCUGCGCCCUGUGCUGUUGAGAGGAGGCUGCUCCCCCACCAUUUCCCCAGGAAAACAGCACCCUAGUGCGGUGACCUCCUAGGGAUCAGCAGAGGACUUCCAUUGAAAAUAAUGGAAAUUCACAUUGGUGCGCAUUUGAUCCUAAAAAGGUAGGAAUACACCCGAGGAUGACAGCUGCCAAGCAGGGAUCAAACACCACUGUGUCAGCCCGAGACUGACCCACAUCAAGGGAGGGAAAUAGAAGAAACACCUGCAGAGACUAAAUUUCUGGGACCCAAAAGUCUGGACAGUGUUUGGGCCACUCCAUGUUCCCCCACCCAUUACUGCCAGGGGCAGUGGGGAGCCUGUGUCCAGGAGGGAGUUGUCCAGGCCUCAAGAAAAUCCCUCCUGGAUGUCAAGGAUCACUGCGCCUCGCCCCUCCAGCCCUGCUCACCUCGGAAG